UGGUGGCUGCUGUUCACUCUG
RNAcentral lists this unclassified non-coding RNA (21 nucleotides) under Mus musculus (house mouse). RNAcentral's name for it is "oocyte_clustered_small_RNA5807". Lineage: Eukaryota; Metazoa; Chordata; Mammalia; Rodentia; Muridae. The record is from RNAcentral.